Molecule: microRNA precursor, 66 nt
Organism: Cercocebus atys (sooty mangabey)
Lineage: Eukaryota; Metazoa; Chordata; Mammalia; Primates; Cercopithecidae
Source: Ensembl
UUCAACAAGGGUGUAGGAUGGCCAGGGAAGCAUGCUGGGCCUUGGCAUUUCUAUGUUAGUUGGAAG